GGGCUACCCACUCCAGUAUUCUGGCCUGGAGAACUCCCUGGAUUGUAUAGUCCAUGGGGUCGCAAAGAGUUGGACACGACUGAGCGACUUUCACUUUCUUUCAAAUUGCACAGGCUCCUCUACAAAAUGGAUGGGGCUGCCUUGCCAGCCGGAGCCUGAAAAUGUGCCCAGGUGUACAGAACCCCAAGUCCCUGGACAACCUGUGAAAUGCUAGCUGCCUGUGAACAGAUGAAAGGGAGGACAGGCAACUGUCCUGGAAAGAAGGAUCUGCAGACGGGACCUCCCUCAACUUUGACCAUGUACAUCUCAGGGUCUGCUUUCCCGGUCUGACCCCUCCCAGUGACAGCAGAGCUGUGAACCCAGGAACACUGACAGCCAAGAAAAGUGGCAUCAUCAAACCCCUCCCACCGCCUCUUCUCUCCUCUCAUGGCCAUUUUCAACAUCAAAGAAUAAUAAACUACUACACUGCACAUCUGAAACUCACAUAAUAUUUCAAAUCAACUAUGCUUCAGUUUUGAAAAAUUUAUAAAGAAUAAAAAUGCUGUAAAAGAAAUGCCCCCCAGGAGUUUUAGUAAAGGGUCUGAAACCUAUAAUUUGAUCCCCAGUUCCAUUCCAUCUGCCAAAGCUGUGACGGACCCUGCGGUCAAGACAGUGGGCCAGCCAUCUGCUUGCAACCAUACCAUGAUUACAGGUUGUUCCUAAGAGUUGGUAUAACUAGAGGGUUAGGCUCAAGGAGACUCACAGUAGCAUUACUGAUUGCCAACCAUGUUCUAGGCUUUGCCCUAAGGGCUUUAUGUACUUGCAACAAAUUUGUGAGCCUGGAAUUAUUCUUACAAAUGUUUUAGGAAUUGGAGACUGGACUCAGAAGCAUUAAAUGCAAGAUUGCCCAGCCAAAAAAAUAGCAGGAAGGGAUUUGAACCUAGAUCUGUCUUGGGCUAAAAAUCUGUGCUUUAAAAAAAUAAAUAAAAUUAAACAAAACAUAACAAAACAAAACGUUUAUUAUGGAAAAUUUCUAACAUACAUAAAACCACCGCAAACUAGUAACGUGAACUGCCAUAUACCCCUCACCAAGUUAUAAUGACCAUUAACAC
Molecule: long non-coding RNA, 1091 nt
Organism: Bos taurus (domestic cattle)
Lineage: Eukaryota; Metazoa; Chordata; Mammalia; Artiodactyla; Bovidae
Source: Ensembl